AAGGGUUAUAUGAUGAUUAGAAGCAUAGUUCAGAUGAUUUAUCUGUGAUUAAUUCUGUUGUUAGUCUUUCGCUCCUAUCUGAUGACCCCU
This is a non-coding RNA of Glycine soja, 90 nucleotides long. Lineage: Eukaryota; Viridiplantae; Streptophyta; Magnoliopsida; Fabales; Fabaceae. The record is from Rfam.